Alligator mississippiensis (American alligator) is the source of this 5688-nucleotide long non-coding RNA. RefSeq lists it as uncharacterized. Lineage: Eukaryota; Metazoa; Chordata; Crocodylia; Alligatoridae. The transcript has 3 exons. The record is from RefSeq and is a predicted model, not a curated record.
UGUCCAGCAGGUUGUAGUGUGUCAGAAUUCCACUGUCUAUAUUGAGUCCAUGACUUUCUGUACCUAGGAGGUUGAUGAAGUGCAGUUUAUAGGCUUGUCUGUGAAAAGUCUCUGCACAUGUUCAGUUUGAGAGUCCAAUAUUGAAGCAUUCUUCACUGCAGAUUUCUACCAUUGCCUGGGAUCUCUGGAUGGAAAGUCCAUCUAAGAGCUGAGGAUUAUCAUAACUUCUGUCUACAGCAGUGGCAAUAUGCAGGGGGUGCACGGGGGUGACCCCCUGAGGGUGCUGGUGCACCCCUGACAGGCAGCAGUCCGCACUUAGGUGACGGGCAGGUGGGAGCACUGGUGCCCCGCCCUGUGAGUGCCAGCUGGGGAGUGGGGGCACAAGGUGGAGCCCUGCUGGCACUUCCCUCUGCCAUGGCUUCUUGAGAAGAAGCCUAAUGAAGAAGAAUUUUUCAUGGAAGAGCUGGAAUCGCAGAAGAGAAGGAACAAUCCCUCAGCGAGAAACAACAUAGCAGCAGCAGCUCCUCUCUUUUCCUUGUCAGAGGAAGAUGACAGCAGUUUCCCACCCUACAUUGAAAUGCCUCAGUUUCCAAAGAGAGACCCAAACUGCUAAGUUUCUGGCAUGAGUCAGAAAGGGUUGGAGUCUAGCUCUGAAUCAAGAGUCUCCCAUCUGGAUGGAGGGUCUGUGCCCAACCUUACAGGGUGCGGGUUCUCUCAUUUUGUCUGGAGGGAGACUAAGGAGGACACCUUGGGGUUCCAAGACAGCGAGAAAACCUCCCUUUCAGACAGCUCCUCCUUGGAAGACUCUAGAUAUCCAACAGAAGGAUACGAGCAGUGUAAUGUGGACGUGGACAGUGCCAACAAGAGGCCUUCCUUCAGGUGACUGUGCUGACAGAUGGUCUUCAUUUUUUACCCUUCCUUUGAGGACCCACAUCUCUCCACAAGGGGCCACCUUUACCCUGACCUGGAGAGGCUUCCCUUCCCUGAGCACAUAGCUUGCUUGAAAGUACAAGUCUCUGAAGACUCCAGUGAGCUCCCUCCCCAGGACAUUGGCCUUCAGACUUUACAGUUCUCAGAGGACAAGGACAUUUGAAGUGACUGUGACAAUGAGACAGACUUUCUGGCCACACAGUCAGCAGGAGGAACACUGCCUCCAGCCACGAUGCUAAGAGAGACUUUUGAAGCUGGGACAUGGGGAAUGCAUGGGACAGUGGAGGAAAAGAACUACCAAAAGCUUAAAUUCCUGGGCUAUCAGCAGGUGCAUUGUAUGUCAAGAAACUGAUGGCAUCAUGGGGAGGAAUGAAAGGACAAGCAUUUGUCAGCCUGUGCCUUUUUGUGCAUCACUACCCAGACAGGCAGGUGAUGUCCAUUUCUGAAGUUCAAGCCAGAAGCAUGCAAUAAUCAAGGGAAACUCCUGCACAUGUUGUAUGCCUGACCUGCCACUAGCAGGCACUAUUUUAGAAGACUGAUGUUUGUGCUCGGCACCCUGUAAGAUACCUCACAACCAGCCUUAAUAGCAUGGCAAACUUUGGCAUAACUUCCCUCAUAUGGAAUUGAGACGUAGCACACCUAAGAUCACAGACCUUGCUGUUGCUAAGUUCAGAAAAAAGUGCUCAUGCAGAUAGCCCUGUGCAGAGGGGGUAUCAGCCUCUCACUGUGUUUUGAAGGAAACAAAGAGCCUGAUUAAGCCAGAUGCUGUAUUUGCGUAAAAAAUAUAACAGCUCAACCAUCUUGUACAAUUCCUCCAAUCACUUAUUUAUUUUACUUGUCCUGCAUGUCCUCCAGUGCAUGCAGGCACAUGCUGCACUUAAUCACACCUAUUCAUUUAGCAGUACAUGCAACCAGUCUAGAAUUAUCGGGAAAAGCUCCCUCCCCCUCCAUGAAUUACAAGCAUCUCAGGAAAAACAAGAGCAAACUCUCUGCAGUGAGAGUUUGACACAUCAGAGUGCUCUGAAAAGGGACUCAAGAGGUCUCGGUUCAGUUCCCUGCACCAAUACGUCUUCUAGACCUGCCACUUGCUCUCUCUUUGCCUUGCUAUACUCAUCUGUUAAUUGAGAACAGUGAUCAUAGUCAGUCUGACAGGGGUUGUGUAUGAAUUUAAUAACUAAUGUUUAGGGGAUGUGGCAGCGACAUGGGAGGGAAACAAGAGUGCCUUUAUAUACAUAUUUUUCUACCUCAUGAGACAUUUGUGUGAGGUUCCCACUGGACCAAGUUUUAAAGUCCUGAAUCAUCGAAUUCUCGAGUAGAUUUCAUGGCAGCCGUCCACCCUGCACCCACUGCUGAGGGCACUGGAGGGAGGGGGCGGGUGGAGCCGCCAUGUAGACAGGCCCAGGAUCUAUGUGGGCAGGGUGCAUUUGGCGGGCUGGAUGGACAAGAUGGUUGCAAUCCAGUCCUGUAACAUCUGGCAGCUACAACAAGCCCUUUUGGACGACAAGAUGCAAAAACAAAGGAGGCCAAGAAUUAGCAAGUGAGAGGAAGCUUCUGGUUCCUACCUGUUUUUAUUUCUUAUAAAUUCAACCAUGGACAGAUUUAAAUACUCAAUCAGUGUUGGAAGGUACAGCACACCUGGAGAAGACAGGAAACUCCAAGGUGAUCUGGGGGACUAAGCUAUUCUACAGCAAAACAAAUUUAGCCUCCUCUGGGGAUACUUAUAUCUGGAGCCUUAUGCAGCCCUGUGAAAGCUUACAUCAGGGGUCAGCAACAUUUUUGGGCAGAGUGCCAAAAACACCCACAACUUCAACUUGUAAGAUGUUGGUGUGCUGGGGCAGAUGAUGGGGGAGCCACGAGGGGCACAAUCCUUGCUGUUGCCAUGUAGCUCCGGCCCCUUCCCUGCUGUCCAUCCAGAGGCAUGUAUGCCAAGCAAAAUGCUUUUGAGUGCCACACUUGGGCACUGGUGCCAGGGGUUGCCUACCCCUGGCUUACAUAAUGCACAGCCCCAUAUUGGUCAGCAGCCACCUAUGAGGUAGGACAUGAUCACCUAGUUGUCAGAGCGGUGCUUACAUCACAAGGACUGUUGGCUCAUCUCUUUCCUGGGGUCCUGAACCUGGUGGCUUGAGUGACUCUGGACACCUUCGCGAUAGGAGCUGCUCAGCAUGUGAGAGAAGGAAAGCUUGUUUAAGCCAACUUUGAACAAUGGAAGUCAUCGACCUGAAACUACCCAGCAGAGGUAAGAUCCCCAUGAUGUUCUCCAUGCCUAAUCUCUAGUCCCACACCCAUUCUUGGAAGCGCAAGGAAUAGGUGGAUUAGCUAACAUCAGCUUUUCUAGAGCCAGAUUUUCAGUUGUGCAAACUAGUGUUAAUUGGUGGCCUGGACUAUAGCUUGGGUGAUUGAUACCACAUCAGGAUCAAGCCUUCAGCCUCUGAACACUGACAUGCCUCCAAUCAUCUGAGACUGUGUUAGAUGUUCUAGGAAAGGCCUCCUUCCAUCCCCGAGAUAUUUCUGACCCUGUCCUCCUUGCAGCCAGGUGGGUGGUGUGAGGUGUCUCUGUAGACAUUACCUAAGCUUAAGCACUAGGGCGGCCUAUACACGUGCUAGUUUGCGUUCUAAUUGGAACAUGUUGGAGCAGGCUCAGUUAAUCGAGUCUGCUCCACAUUCUAAUUAAAACGCUGCAGCAUUGCUUCACUGUCUUCUGUAUUAAGCCCCCCUCCCACCUCCCGCCACAUUUUAAAAUGGCUGUGGGGGUGCUUUAACUAAAGCUCAUUGAAUAUGCUUUAGUUGAAGUGCUCCAGUGACCAUUUUAAAAUAUGGGAUGCUUAAUACAUGUGAAGGUAAGUCAUUUUAUUAGAGAGGCUGUUGGGGAACCACUCUAAUUUAAACAGUCCCUCCCCAUCCCCUUCCCACCCCUUUCCUUUAUUUUCCUGAAAACAAAUGUCACAGUAAUCUCCCCUUUCAACUGGCUGGGCCAUUUUGCAAGCAAAUCUUCUAGCAUGACAGAGCAGGAGAAAAGGGAAGAUGCAUCUUCUCCCUGACCAAGUCCACUCUUGCCUCUUUAGCUGGUACAGCUGUGGCCAUUGUGCAUGGAACUGAUGAUUAUAGAUUUUUAGCUUCUGAUGCUGGCCGACACCAAAGCAUCAUCUCCAUCCUACUGACCAAGAUGAGCUUUUUGGCAGAACUAAAUUACAUUAAGGAAAGUGCCUUUUUAGCACUACCAGCUGCCUCAGAAGGGUGGCCUAGAGAGCUCUCCUGUUGUUGCUGUGCUAGGAAACCUUUCCUUUAUAGCCAGGCCACAGGAUUUGGCUUCAGCAGAGCUGCUGUAGGUGGUGAUGAAUGAGACCACUGGGAAUCAACAGAAUCCUUUUCCUCCACUUCAGGUUUUUCUACCAGUGAUGCCUCUGCAGGGAGAUGCCUGAUGGAUCAAGCUCAGGGCAGUCUUGGCCCAGGGUUUGGCCAGGCAGAUGUAGAGCCUGACAUUACUGUGAGCCUUCUGUUGGAGAGACUUCAACAGGAGGAGGAGACAAGAGAAACCAUUUACUCCAGCCUGGAGAAGGACUUGCAGGGGGAUACAAAGAGCCUGGAUAGGAGCCUUGUCAGGAGGAUCAUCCACUUGGCUUCCAAAGACAUGAGGGAGACCCAAUAAGAAAAUGAUGAACUGCAGUUGGCCGCAGGAAAAACCCUCAUGGCACUUCCUGGCACCUUUUACAAUUGGGUGAUGUACGAGCUGCAGAAUCACGUGGGCAUCAUGGAGCUACCUCCAGUUUUCUUCUUGAUUACACUGGGUGACCUGGCUUCAGCCUAUGGUACAGCAUUGGCUCCCUUGCUUCCGGGCUUUGAUCAGGGAUUGUGGAGGGAAGGGAUAAAUACCACUCUGUCCAAUGGGACUGUCACAACCCAAAGUUGUGGUUUUUGUUUGUGUGUGCUUCGGCAACGUUAAAUUAUGUUCCCACCUAAAUUACAGUUUCUUUGCAUGGUGGAGUUCUCUGCUGUGGAGGGGAGCUCCGGGUGCAAAAGGCUUUCCCGCCGUUUUGUAGCUUCUUUGCAGGGUGCAUUUCUUUGCUGCAUACUAGUGAUGCACGUUGCAAAGGAGUUCCCGCCAUUUGUAUUUAGAUUCGCGCCACAUUAUUGGCCGGUUCUAAAUGUAGGCACACGUGGCGGCUAGCUAUUGGCUUGCUAGCCGUACAAAAGGCUUGGGUAACUUCCGCCCAAGCCGGAGAGAGAGGAAAACUGGAGAGAUACAGAACUCGCCAGGAGAAGGAGACUUCGUGCUGUGUGAAGAUCUCUAAGUGAUGUGGACCCUUGCGGACCCAACGCGCCUCUCUUAAGCAGGCAAUAGAGGCUUAAUAACCGAACCCACAGAGCUUUAACAACUCCGGAGGGGGGAACAAAAGAACGAACCGCCUCUAGCCUCUCCCCGUCACCGAGCGCAAUCCAAGACGUAUCCCUUUCCUGUAAACUGAAUUUUCGAACCCACGGAGUCUUAACAACUCCGGGGGACCAGGGAACCAAACCCAAUUUUUGAACCCACGGAGUCUUAACAACUCCGGGGGACCAGGGAACCGAACCCAAUUUCCGAACCCACGGAGCUUAAACAACUCCGGGGCCUGGGAACCGAACCGAACCCAUGGAGCUUCGACAACUCCGUGGGAAAGAAUUUGUCGUGGUCCUCCAACGAGGAUUUAAGCGGAGCUGCACCUGGAAAGCUGUCCAGCCUACACCACUACCAUCUUUGGGUGUAAGUAAAUAAUCUUUUAA